CCUACGGGAGGCAGCAGUGAGGAAUUUUCCGCAAUGGGCGAAAGCCUGACGGAGCAAUGCCGCGUGGAGGAGGAAGGCCUGUGGGUCGUAAACUCCUUUUCUCAGAGAAGAAGUUCUGACGGUAUCUGAGGAAUAAGCAUCGGCUAACUCUGUGCCAGCAGCCGCGGUAAUACAGGGGAUGCAAGCGUUAUCCGGAAUUAUUGGGCGUAAAGCGUCCUGAGGUGGCUUACCCAGUCGACUGUGAAAGCUCAAGGCUUAACCUUGAAACGGCAGUCGAAACUUGUAAGCUUGAGUACGGUAGGGGCAGAGGGAAUUCCCGGAGGAGAGGUGAAAUUCGUAGAUAUCGGGAGGAAGGCCAAAGGCGAAAGCACUCUGCUGGGCCGAUUACUGACACUGACAGACGAAAGCUAGGGGAGCGAAAGGGAUUAGAUACCCUGUAGUCCUAGCCGUAAACGAUAGGAUACUAAGUGUUGCGCGACUCAAACGUGCAGUGCUGCAGCUAACGCGGUAAGUAUCCCGCCUGGGGAGUAUGCCGCAAGGGUGAAACUCAAAUGAAUUGACGG
Molecule: ribosomal RNA, 563 nt
Filed under: uncultured bacterium
Lineage: Bacteria
Description: bacterial SSU rRNA
Rfam family: Bacterial small subunit ribosomal RNA
Source: RNAcentral